Long non-coding RNA from Monomorium pharaonis (pharaoh ant), 3470 nucleotides. RefSeq lists it as uncharacterized. The transcript has 3 exons. The record is from RefSeq and is a predicted model, not a curated record. Lineage: Eukaryota; Metazoa; Arthropoda; Insecta; Hymenoptera; Formicidae.
AUCGUCUUGUUUAAUGUAGACUUUCAAGAAGAUAAUUUUAUUAAAACUCGAAUUUUUUUAUUAGUGUGAUAAUGAAUUUGUUCUUUCUCGAAUUGAAUUAAAAUAUAAUACAAUCGUUCUAUUUGUUUCACAACAAUUUGUCGAUUUGAUGAAGAUACAUAUUUUCUUCAUAUUCCCGAUACAUCUCCAAGUAUUUUCUUGCGGCAUUUUUGUUUUUGGGUGAAGCCCGCAGAAAGGAUUUCAUCGGUGCGAUAGGCGGUUAAGCAUGGUGAAGAACACGUCUUCAUUUUAGCGGUCAGGAGGUGCUGGUGACAUUCCAGGGAUCCGCAACGCGAACUGAGCGGAAAGGACGCGACCCUAUCCCCGGCCGCAAUGGCACAAGGAGAUCGACGUCCUGGAGGGCGUCGCCGUCCUCGCCGUCCUCAUCGUCCACGUCGUGUGGGUCCGAGCGUUCCGGACAUAGCACCGCGUCCCCGCUAUCGGUUAGGGUUUUGCUGCCGCGCGACCCGAGUUUUUCGUGCGGCUCUUCUCUGGCGGUAACUCGAGGCCAGGCAAGUCAGGAGUGCAUUACACGCAAUUAGACGCCAGGGUGGCCCCAAGGUAUGUCCGACAAACGGCCCUCCUCUUCAUCUCCCCCUACUACAUUGCGUCGCACCGUUUUCCUUCUCGUUCCUCUCUUCGUCGCUUCCAUCACUACAUGGUUCACCCUGCACUCGUUUCCCCUCGGUGACCCCUUUCGGGCCAUUUUUCUUUUUUGUAUUAUAAUAUCUUGCAGAAACAUAACAAUUUUAUAAUUUUAUUCUAAUAAUUUAUUUUGCUCUAUAGAUUUCCAAAGUUAAUUUUACACUAAGAAUAAUACUAAUAUGAUUUGUCUUCUAUUUUUAUAUUAUUCAUUUGUAACAGAAAAUAUAUAUUUGAAUAAUAUGUUUUGAAAAGUAUUCUAUAAAAAAAAUAUCAGCUCUAUAUUCUUAUAUUAAAUUAUAAAUUGGCAUCCAGCAUUAAAUUAAAUGAUAUCAAACAUUCAAUAGUUUCAAUGCAAAGCUUUAACAAUAAGUAAGGGUGUGGUAUGCGUGUCGUGAUUAAUCCUGUGUCUGCAAAAAUAAGCGGCUAAUUAAAUUUGUUUGUGUGCGAACACAUGUUUCACUCUCUUACAAAUAGUCAAUGGAGGCUGUGACUAUCGUCAAACAGCAUGGCGCAUCGUCGCGUAAGAGUGAGACACAGGCUAUGUUGAAGGGAAAGAAGAAGAAGAGACUGAAUGGGGAGGGUAGCGAAGGGAAAGACAACUCACGUACAUAAGAACCAGUGGCACCGUUUAAUACGGGAAACACUGGCGCACUUUAAGUGUAAUUACCAUUGGCGUAAUUAAUUUAGCUAAAGAGCCGGCAUUAAUUUACUGCGCGUGUUUGAUCUUUCUUCUCUUUUGAUGCUCCUCUUUUCUUUGUCUGCGUUUAAAGUGAAGCUGUGCACGUCAAGUUUUCUUCUUCCGGAACUCGCAUCUUUAUAUUUUUUGCUUCUUCUUUCGUUUCAAUGCUUUCUCAACUAUGUUAUGUAUUCAAACGUAACAGAUAAAUUUUGAAAAAAUUUCUUCUUUCCACUGCAGCAAUCAAAUGUUAUUUCUUAUAGUUUUAAUCUAUGCGUAUAUUUUAAAAAAUUUUGUUUUUACAUUUUAUCUAUUUUAGAUUUUAUUCCACUUCCUGUUCUUUACGAUUAUCAUGUUUUUAUUAUUAGUAAGCAUGAUAGCAAACGGCUUUGCUAAUGUCUCAUUUUUUAUGCAUAUAUACCGGAAAACAAUCACAGUGAUAACACAGCGAAGUCAUGCGAAUGUCCGCUUUGUCACAAAGUGAUAUUAUUCUAUGACAGUCUUUUUUUAUUACAACUGCAUAAUAUCAUGACGAAAUCACUCUGUGAUAAAGCGAACAUUUAGUCAUAUCACUGUGACUUCUUGCUGUGAAUAUUAUCUGUUAAAAACCAAUCUUGUAAUACUUUCAUGAAUAGUCUUCUGGUUUGAUCUAGAUCAUAUAAUUUUUCCUUCGAAAAUGUAAAGCAUUGCAACAAUGUUUGUUUCAAACGUAAUCGCCAAAAGACGUGAUAAAGAACUAAUCGACACUAUGCGUUUAAGGGGCGCGAUCGCAGAGUCCAUUGGUACUGGUUGGUGGUCCAAUUAGUGUAGCAUCCGAACGUACGCGGGGUGGUUGAGCAAUUGUCGCAGUUGAGUCGCCAUAUAAAUUUCUCAGUACGAGCCGGUACGAGCAUCGGUAGGCCGGUCGCCUGGGCUAACUGUGCACACACAGUGAACUUUCUUGCGUGGUCGCGCAGUGCUCACCGCCGGCUCGGUCGCUAAAGGAUAUUAAACGCCUUCCUUGUAGGCUGACCGAUGAUUGCACCGACGACAGUUACUAUCUGGAAACUGCCGCCUCGUGCAAAACGGCAGGAGCACAGAAUGGCUAUACAGUUAAACGUCGCUUAGCAACAAGGUUGCCUUUGGAGCAACGUUGAACGACGUGUUCACCCUGUGUUCUCACGUCUUUGUUACCUACUCAGAUGAUAGCGAUGAUUUGCAAGUGAAAAUGUUUACUAAAAAACUUAUUAGUAUAUUAAGACAAUUAAAUAGACUUUGUCUAAUAGUAAUUUUACACAUAUAUCUUUGUAUUGUUUUAGGUGAUUGUGAAUCUUUGCAUUUUUUAAAUUAAAUAUAUUAUCGCUCUUGUUAAUCUGUACCUACACAGAAUUAUUUUUUGUUAUAUACAUUUUGAAAUCGACGGAUUAAUUUAUGGUUGUAUGUGCAUUACGUAUUACAGAAUCUAAUGGCAUUGAAAGUUUUUAUAGCUGUUUAAUUUUGAAAUAAGCAAAUAACAGUAAAAUCUUUCGAGAAUUGACUUGGCAAUGACUAUGCAUAGAAAAUUUGUACCCAACAUUAUAUAUCUCUGCUAUUAGGUACCAUUUAUUGUACAAGUGAAUCUUUUAUUAGAAACAUAAAUGUCAAUACAAUUACUAAUAUAAAUUACAUAUAGCUAACUCAUUAUCUAAUGACGUAAAAAAAAUGUAGGAGAGAAUACUCUGAUUCUUCUGAAUAGAAAAAAAUGCUGCUUUGCGUAGGAGUAUCUGGCUUUUAGCCAAAGAUUGCUCUUCUGUUGGCUACUUGGCUAGUCGUUUGCAACUGACUCGGCGAAUAGCUUUUGGUUAUCCUAAAACCACUUACAGCACCGCGAAAAGUUAUUGUAAGUUGACAGAUCUGAGUGCAUUUCGUGAUAGGUGACGACAAUUCGCGUACGGUGUGCUAAGCUGUUAUUUGAUCCUCUGAUUUCAUAGUCUCGUGAUAUUUGAUAUUUUUUCGCAUAUCAUGGAAGAGGAUAUUAAUUCAAUAAAAAAAUGCAAUCAUCAAAGUUGUAAAAAUGAAGAAAAGCCUAGUAUGAGACAACUUUUUAGAGACGCUUGGCGUAGAAUAAAAAUGAUAAGUGGUGGAAGCAAUC